ACUGUUUUCAAAGAAAACGCAAACAAAUUAUAACACAAGGAAGAAGAUGGGGUAAGUAAUGGUACCAGCGGCACAAGAACCAAGUUAGAUAACCACUAAUUAGUGAUAAAGUAAGGGUGCUGCUGUUUCCAAGGUUUAUUGGCUUUGCCGUAGAAGCAGCUUCCCCGCGAUGCAUAGAUGCUUCGAAAAUAAACGUUACUAUGCUGGCCGCGCAAACAAGCAAGGGCCGCGGCCGAAACAAACGUGCCACUCUGCUGUCCGCAGAAAUGUACAGAAAUUUUUUUAGUACCCGGUAAUUACAUCAAUAUGCUAACGCCGCCUCUCUCUUCGUGAAGUGUCGCAUGAGCACGUCAGCGCCAAUUAAUUCCUACGAAUGAGAUGUUCAGAAAAUAUUUCAGCCCACGACACAAAUUCUGUGACGAGCUUUCCUCUGUAAACGACGUAGUAGCCGUCACUAUGUAAAUAUAAUACGCGCGAAACGCUUCAUCUCUUUAGUCAUAUCGCUUCGAUUUCACCUGCAUCGAAACGCAUUCAGCUGGAGCUUCUACUUUCGUAUUGGUAUCCUACGUUUUUAUAUACCAAUGACAACUGCUCCUGCGGAAACACACAUGUCAAAUUUACGCAGACUUUGGGGACGAACAGGAUCUCUUACGUCGGUUUUGUGUCUGGCAUGAUAAAAUAAUAGAACGUAAUGAAAACCUUUUUUUUUUUCAGAAAAUGGCACCCCUGGUUCCUGUUUCGUAUUUUUUCAUACCUGAAGAUAACAUAGUGAAGAAUGUGUGUCAAGUUUUCGAAUCUACACGUCUAUACAAAAUGCAGAUGGUCCCUUGGUCUCCUUGAGGCACAAGUUGUCUUCUUACAACUCCUUUAUCUGACAAUAGCGUUACGUAUCUGCGUUUCCACAACCCACAAAACUUAGGAAGGUGUGACGUGCACUAUGUAGCUUCUUCGAGGCAGUAUGAGUACAUGAAUCUUUCUGUGAUUUGAAAACACCAAUUAAAGUGAACUUUAGUAAUCCUUGACUGGUGCAAUUCAAAGUGCCACGCGUCAGUUCAAGGGUGCUUUUGUGCGACCAACUUUAAAAAAGCUUGUAUACCACGCGUUCAGCUACGGUUAACAAUGUGCUAACAAAGCCAUGGCUGUUAGUAUGUUCUCUUUGAGCGCUGAACGCAUGGCAAUUAAGGCAUAGUUCUGAAGUCAAUCUUUUGUGGAAAGUGCCAGUUCAAAAUGUGCGCGUCGUAUAGGUCACCUUGAGCAAGAUUUGACGUAAAUGCAAUCGUCAGGUCAUUGUAAUAUCUGACGUCAUGGCAAAUUAUCUUAGUGGCGCAGUGUUCUGAGGUCACGACGACUUCUCACUGUGUCGAAGCAUGUGCACCGGCUUGUUCCUGAAAUUUGAAUUUUUGCGUGCGCUUACAACUUGGUCUCAAGUGGUUCUUGAUUUCGUUUUAGAGCCCAAGUGACGACGAUUGCGAGCACAUUCACUCAUACACUCCAUAAUUCUCCCGACUCCAAAACAGGUAACUGAAGUAUUCGUUUUGAAAGUAUUGAUGUCGAAUUGAAAACAAGGAAGACUCAAAAUCAAUGUUUAUAAUUAAAUAGCUUUAGUAACAAAAAAUACAAUACAGAAUAAUCAUGCAAAAAUGGUCCAAACAAGCAGUAACAUAUUCAAUGGUUAUGAAUGAAAAAAGUAGCACUUGUAAAUUACAUAACAAAAUAAACAUAUCGGCACGACCCAAAAAUAAUGAAAAGCAAAUGAUUAUUGAUAGAGAAAAGGCAUUAGUAAUGAGUUCAAAGAAUACACAAAGUCAGUUGGAUUUGAAGGUCACUGGGAACGUUACUGGCUCACAAAAAUAUAUCUCUGAAGCAAAGUAUGCUUUGAUGUCUGUGAUGUUACGCUUUCCCUGUUCACAGUACUAUUCUUAAAAAGUCCGCAUCUUAUUUUGAGUGCUAGCACAAUAAAAGUUCCCACUAUUAAUUAAAUAAGUUAAGCUUUAAAUUUAGGAUAUAUCUUAAUGAAGACACACGAUAAAGAUCGUCUUGCUAUAAAUAUAGUGAUUACAGUUUUUCUUUGUACACUGUGACUAGUACAACAUUGUGAACCCAAUUUCUUCUUUCUGUUUUUCGGUUCAAACAGCUGUCUCUUUGGUCUCAACAUCUAUUCGCGAUAGUUGUAUUAGCUGGCUGUACUUUGGAGUAUCAUGCAGAGUUCACAAAUAUCCUUUUCCGCAAUUUUCCGCAAGCGCGAUCCAACACAUGGCACAACCGCGUGAAUGUAAGCACAAGACGUCGGGAUGCACUGUAUCAGCAAGGACAGCUUUCAGAAGACAAAACUUGAGGAAAUGAACACUAAGCGCGUACUGAGACACUCCCGAUAAAGACGUUUUGAAGCGUCAAAGGUAGUCGGCGCUCCGCACAACAGACUUCUAAACUAUACUCAUCUAUCACACCAAUACAGUAUCGUCACCUCACACGAAUAAAAGCAGCGCUGUGCCGAUACGCCGAAGCACUAUAAAGGGUAGCAAGACAAUAAGACAGUAUACAAAACAAAAGAAAACCAGAAAAAAAAUAUUCACUAAACACUCAUUGCUUGCCUAAAUAACUUUUUUUUUUUUCAUCACAAACUAGUGGCGCCUCCCACGGGAAACGCGA
Molecule: long non-coding RNA, 2649 nt
Filed under: Dermacentor andersoni
Lineage: Eukaryota; Metazoa; Arthropoda; Arachnida; Ixodida; Ixodidae
Description: uncharacterized LOC126531666
Source: RNAcentral